AUGCACGCUGGCGGCGUGCUUAACCCAUGCAAGUCGAACGAAGCACUUUAUUUGAUUUCCUUCGGGACUGAUUAUUUUGUGACUGAGUGGCGGACGGGUGAGUAACGCGUGGGUAACCUGCCUUGUACAGGGGGAUAACAGUUGGAAACGGCUGCUAAUACCGCAUAAGCGCACGGCAUCGCAUGAUGCAGUGUGAAAAACUCCGGUGGUAUAAGAUGGACCCGCGUUGGAUUAGCUAGUUGGUGAGGUAACGGCCCACCAAGGCGACGAUCCAUAGCCGACCUGAGAGGGUGACCGGCCACAUUGGGACUGAGACACGGCCCAAACUCCUACGGGAGGCAGCAGUGGGGAAUAUUGCACAAUGGGCGAAAGCCUGAUGCAGCGACGCCGCGUGAGCGAAGAAGUAUUUCGGUAUGUAAAGCUCUAUCAGCAGGGAAGAUAAUGACGGUACCUGACGAAGAAGCACCGGCUAAAUACGUG
RNAcentral lists this ribosomal RNA (480 nucleotides) under uncultured bacterium. RNAcentral's name for it is "partial 16S ribosomal RNA". It matches the Rfam family "Bacterial small subunit ribosomal RNA", at positions 29 to 507 of the family's 1533-position model. The record is from RNAcentral.